RNAcentral lists this ribosomal RNA (253 nucleotides) under uncultured bacterium. RNAcentral describes it as "partial 16S ribosomal RNA". It matches the Rfam family "Bacterial small subunit ribosomal RNA", at positions 524 to 776 of the family's 1533-position model. The record is from RNAcentral.
UACGGAAGGCGCAAGCGUUAAUCGGAUUUAUUGGGCGUAAAGGGCGUGUAGGCGGGAUAGUCAGUCAACUGUGAAAUUCCAAGGCUCAACCUUGGAGCUGCAGUUGAAACUUCUAUUCUUGAGGGUAGACGGAGAAAGUAGAAUUCCACGUGUAGCGGUGAAAUGCGUAGAUAUGUGGAAGAAUACCUGUGGCGAAAGCGACUUUCUAGUUUAUUCCUGACGCUGAGGCGCGAAAGUGAGGGGAGCAAACAGG